GAACUGAGACACGGACCAGACUCCUACGGGAGGCAGCAGUGAGGAAUAUUGCACAAUGGAGGAAACUCUGAUGCAGCAACGCCGCGUGGAGGAUGACGCAUUUCGGUGUGUAAACUCCUUUUAUAAGGGAAGAAAAUGACGGUACCUUAUGAAUAAGCACCGGCUAACUCCGUGCCAGCAGCCGCGGUAAUACGGAGGGUGCAAGCGUUACUCGGAAUCACUGGGCGUAAAGGACGCGUAGGCGGAUUGGAAAGUCAGAUGUGAAAUCCUACAGCUUAACUGUAGAACUGCAUUUGAAACUUCUAAUCUAGAGUAUGGGAGGGGGAGAUGGAAUUAGUGGUGUAGGGGUAAAAUCCGUAGAUAUCACUAGGAAUACCGAAAGCGAAGGCGAUCUCCUGGAACAUAACUGACGCUGAGGCGUGAAAGCGUGGGGAGCAAACGGGAUUAGAUACCCCGGUAGUCCACGCCCUAAACGAUGAACACUAGUCGUCGGGAUGCUUGUCAUCUCGGUGAUGCACUUAACAGAUUAAGUGUUCCGCCUGGGGAGUACGGUCGCAAGAUUAAAACUCAAAGGAAUAGACGGGGACCCGCACAAGUGGUGGAGCAUGUGGUUUAAUUCGAAGAUACGCGAAGAACCUUACCUAGCCUUGACAUUGAUAGAACACCCUAGAGAUAGAGUGGUGCCCUUCGGGGAACUUGAAAACAGGUGCUGCACGGCUGUCGUCAGCUCGUGUCGUGAGAUGUUGGGUUAAGUCCCGCAACGAGCGCAACCCUCGUCCUUAGUUGCCAGCAGGUUAUGCUGGGCACUCUAAGGAGACUGCCUUCGCAAGGAGGAGGAAGGUGAGGACGACGUCAAGUCAUCAUGGCCCUUAUGGCUAGGGCUACACACGUGCUACAAUGGGGCGUACAGAGUGUUGCGAUACCGCGAGGUGGAGCCAAUCACUUAAAGCGUCUCUCAGUUCGGAUUGAAGUCUGCAACUCGACUUCAUGAAGCUGGAAUCACUAGUAAUCGUAGAUCAGCAAUGCUACGGUGAAUACGUUCCCGGGUCUUGUACUCACCGCCCGUCACACCAUGGGAGUUGAUUUCGCCCGAAAUUGGGAAGCUAACCUUCGGGAGGCUACCACUUACGGCGGAAUUAGCGACUGGGGUGAAGUCGUAACAAGGUA
RNAcentral lists this ribosomal RNA (1167 nucleotides) under uncultured marine microorganism. RNAcentral describes it as "bacterial SSU rRNA". It matches the Rfam family "Bacterial small subunit ribosomal RNA", at positions 316 to 1498 of the family's 1533-position model. The record is from RNAcentral.